This 756-nucleotide ribosomal RNA is filed under the name uncultured bacterium. RNAcentral describes it as "bacterial SSU rRNA". It matches the Rfam family "Bacterial small subunit ribosomal RNA", at positions 8 to 796 of the family's 1533-position model. The record is from RNAcentral.
AGAGUUUGAUCCUGGCUCAGAAUCAACGCUGGCGGCGUGCCUAACACAUGCAAGUCGAACGAGAAAGGGUAGCAAUACCUGAGUACAGUGGCGCACGGGUGAGUAACACGUGACUAACCUACCCUGGAGUGGGGAAUAACUGAGGGAAACCUUAGCUAAUACCGCAUAAUACCUACGGGUCAAAGGAGCAAUUCGCUUCAGGAGGGGGUCGCGGCCGAUUAGUUAGUUGGCGGGGUAAUGGCCCACCAAGACAGUGAUCGGUAUCCGGCCUGAGAGGGCGCACGGACACACUGGAACUGAAACACGGUCCAGACUCCUACGGGAGGCAGCAGUGGGGAAUUUUGCGCAAUGGGGGAAACCCUGACGCAGCAACGCCGCGUGGAGGAUGAAAUCCCUUGGGAUGUAAACUCCUUUCGAUCGGGACGAUUAUGACGGUACCGGAAGAAGAAGCCCCGGCUAACUUCGUGCCAGCAGCCGCGGUAAUACGAGGGGGGCAAGCGUUGUUCGGAAUUAUUGGGCGUAAAGGGUGUGUAGGCGGUUUGGUAAGUCGUGUGUGAAAUCUUCGGGCUCAACCCGAAGUCUGCACACGAAACUGCCGGGCUUGAGUAUGGGAGAGGUGAGUGGAAUUCCUGGUGUAGCGGUGAAAUGCGUAGAUAUCAGGAGGAACACCUGUGGCGAAAGCGGCUCACUGGACCAUUACUGACGCUGAAACACGAAAGCUAGGGGAGCAAACAGGAUUAGAUACCCUAGUAGUCC